GCAGCCGCGGUAACACCGGCAGCUCGAGUGGUAGCUGUUUUUAUUGGGCCUAAAGCGUUCGUAGCCGGUUUGAUAAGUCUUUGGUGAAAGCUUGUAGCUUAACUAUAAGAAUUGCUGGAGAUACUAUUAGACUUGAAGUCGGGAGAGGUUAGAGGUACUACCGGGGUAGGGGUGAAAUCCUAUAAUCCUGGGAGGACCACCUGUGGCGAAGGCGUCUAACUGGAACGAUCUUGACGGUGAGUAACGAAAGCCAGGGGCGCGAACCGGAUUAGAUACCCG
This 279-nucleotide ribosomal RNA is filed under the name uncultured Rikenellaceae bacterium. Its description in RNAcentral is "partial 16S ribosomal RNA". It matches the Rfam family "Archaeal small subunit ribosomal RNA", at positions 461 to 739 of the family's 1478-position model. The record is from RNAcentral. Lineage: Bacteria; Pseudomonadati; Bacteroidota; Bacteroidia; Bacteroidales; Rikenellaceae.